GGUCUAUUGUCUCAUACCAUUUGGGUUUGUUUCUACUUCUAUUUCAAUACACUCGAUCCGUAAUUUGAAAAUAAUCUAUUACAUGUAUUUGUAAAUUAAGAUUAACCUUAUUUUCAAAAAGUUAAAAUUAAGAGAAUAUGAACCCACCAAAAAUUGUGUAUGAUCUCAAGUACUGUUUUUGUGGUUUAAUUUACUAAGGGUGUGAUAUUGACCCCCGCAAAUCCAUAUCAGCCCUGCAGGGUUGAUACGGCUAUUGUGACGUCAGCCAUAUCGCAUAUGCAAAAAACCUGUAUUUAUUACUAAGUGUGUAAUAAAUG
Long non-coding RNA from Saccostrea cuccullata (small rock oyster), 317 nucleotides. RefSeq lists it as uncharacterized. The transcript has 2 exons. NCBI's taxonomy places the organism in Eukaryota, Metazoa, Mollusca, Bivalvia, Ostreida, Ostreidae. The record is from RefSeq and is a predicted model, not a curated record.